AAAAAUGUAUGAUGAAUUCAUAGUUCAACUGAUUAAAAUGAAGACGUACUUAUUUGUCUUUCGCUCCUAUCUGAAAACUUUU
Molecule: small nucleolar RNA, 82 nt
Organism: Melipona quadrifasciata
Lineage: Eukaryota; Metazoa; Arthropoda; Insecta; Hymenoptera; Apidae
Rfam family: Small nucleolar RNA snR60/Z15/Z230/Z193/J17
About the family: The members of this family belong to the C/D class of snoRNAs which contain the C (UGAUGA) and D (CUGA) box motifs. Most of the members of the box C/D family function in directing site-specific 2'-O-methylation of substrate RNAs.
Source: Rfam